Molecule: transfer RNA, 76 nt
Organism: Halobaculum gomorrense
Lineage: Archaea; Methanobacteriati; Methanobacteriota; Halobacteria; Halobacteriales; Haloferacaceae
Rfam family: tRNA
About the family: Transfer RNA (tRNA) molecules are approximately 80 nucleotides in length. Their secondary structure includes four short double-helical elements and three loops (D, anti-codon, and T loops).
Source: Rfam
GCCAAGGUGGCAGAGUCCGGCCAUACGCAUCUCCCUGCAGAGGAGAACCACGCCGGUUCAAAUCCGGCCCUUGGCU